Molecule: ribosomal RNA, 252 nt
Filed under: uncultured bacterium
Lineage: Bacteria
Description: partial 16S ribosomal RNA
Rfam family: Bacterial small subunit ribosomal RNA
Source: RNAcentral
UACGUAGGUCCCGAGCGUUGUCCGGAUUUGUUGGGCGUAAAGCGAGCGCAGGUGGUUUAUUAAGUCUGGUGUAAAAGGCAGUGGCUCAACCAUUGUAUGCAUUGGAAACUGGUAGACUUGAGUGCAGGAGAGGAGAGUGGAAUUCCAUGUGUAGCGGUGAAAUGCGUAGAUAUAUGGAAGAACACCGGUGGCGAAAGCGGCUCUCUGGCCUGUAACUGACACUGAGGCUCGAAAGCGUGGGGAGCAAACAGG